This 253-nucleotide ribosomal RNA is filed under the name uncultured bacterium. RNAcentral describes it as "partial 16S ribosomal RNA". It matches the Rfam family "Bacterial small subunit ribosomal RNA", at positions 524 to 776 of the family's 1533-position model. The record is from RNAcentral.
UACGGAGGGUGCGAGCGUUGUCCGGAAUCACUGGGCGUAAAGGGCGCGUAGGCGGCACGACAAGUCAACGGUGAAAGCUCGGGGCUCAACCCCGAGUCGGCCGUCGAUACUGUUGGGCUGGAGCACUGUAGAGGCAGGUGGAAUUCCGGGUGUAGCGGUGGAAUGCGUAGAGAUCCGGAGGAACACCAGUGGCGAAGGCGACACACUGGGCCGUACCUGACACUAAGACGCGACAGCAUGGGGAGCGAACGGG